UACAGAGGGUGCGAGCGUUGUCCGGAAUCACUGGGCGUAAAGGGCGCGUAGGUGGCUGGGUAAGUGUGCGGUGAAAGCCCGGGGCUCAACCCCGGGUCGGCCGUGCAGACUGCUUGGCUUGAGCAUAGUAGAGGCAGGUGGGAUUCCGGGUGUAGCGGUGGAAUGCGUAGAGAUCCGGAAGAACACCGGUGGCGAAGGCGGCCUGCUGGGCUAUUGCUGACACUGAGGCGCGACAGCGUGGGGAGCAAACAGG
Molecule: ribosomal RNA, 253 nt
Filed under: uncultured bacterium
Lineage: Bacteria
Description: partial 16S ribosomal RNA
Rfam family: Bacterial small subunit ribosomal RNA
Source: RNAcentral